GUGCUACAGAUCUGACCCGACCAUAAGGACAGAAAGCCCUGCAGAGUCAGAAGAAAAAACAAUUAUGAAGAUUCUCCAGCAUCGGCAGUUCCUAUUAUCAGUUGAAUUGUUCGCUAGCAGGCGAGAGAGAGAGUGACAGCAACAAUGGAAACAGCAAAAAGACAAGCCCAACACUCUUUUUUAAAAAAAGGAGACGACGAGCCAAGUCAGUGGGCUGGUAAAAAGAGAGAAAAGUCACGUAUUGAAAAUGCAUAGAGACAUCGGCAUUCAAGUGCCUAUAAGGAAUAACUGAAAGCUACAGGAGUUGAACAACAAUGAGGUGGGAGCACUAAGAAUUGCCUCUUUCAGUGAAGAUGGACCACCAUGAUGGAUUUUAUCUGAAUGCAAUAGGAGAUCUGGAAUUAUCAAUUCCUACUUCUUUAUAUCUACUGGACUGACAAGGUCUCAAAUGGACAUUUUCUUACUUAAAAUCUUUCAACUUUCCAUAAUCAAUUUUUUCAAAAAUGUAAACAGGAUUGCAAGUAGUUUUUUUUUCAUCUAUGUCACUUUUUCUAGUUAGUGGGACUUUAUUGAGUUUAUUCCAAACAGCAGAUUCACUUCUUGGUAAGAUCUAGGGGUGAAAUUAAUGGCAAUGGAGGAAUUGCAACAAUGACCUGGAUAGAAAGGGUCAUUUCUGUUGGAUGCAAUUCAAUAGCUAUUGGGCAAUUAACUGAUGGGCAACACAGUCUCUAUCUCUUUUUGAAGAUUAUGAUCCACUUCCAAGAGAUACUAGCUAUUCAGAGUGCCAACAACCUGUCCAACCCAGCAGCAUCCCCAUGAGCAGUGGCCACUGCUGGUAUUACAGCUAGACUGGACCAACAACCAUGGUGACUCUGAAGACUAAGUAAAUAGAAUGAGUUGCAAGGAUGGAUUUGGAAGCCAGGGAAUGACAGUGGUUGUUGAGUGUCGGCUGGCUUCUUGUCAAAGGGUAAUCAUUACCUCUGAGGAGACUAUUAAUAACCUUACAGGUACCUAAUUCUAUGGCCACUCCACUGAAUCUACAAGAAAGUCAUCAGUUUUUAUACACACAUGUGCAGAGAGUUGGAAAGGUGAUGUAAAGUAAUGUGUUUUGAUGUCUCUGAGAUCUCAAUCUUAAUGUCUUAUAUUGUUCUUAGAUUCCGCAGUAUCUUGUAGACUCUUGUAGUGACAAACAGCGCAGAAUUACUUUUCAUUGACAACUUUAUAAUACAUUGUGUAGGUGUGUAUAUUUCCUGCAGAAAUGUUUAUUAUGCUGGCUUUCUGUCAAUGCUACCAUUAUACAUAUUGAGAAGAGCACAGCUGAGAAUCAGUCUUCACUGUCUAUCUGGUCUCAAUGCUUAAAUCGGUCUAGAUAUUGGGUAUUUUGAUCAGUGAGACUAUUGCUUCCGCUCAAAUUGAAAUUAUAACAAUGUGAAUCUAAGUUGCCUUUUGACCAAUGAUCAUCAAUUAGACGUGGAACAACAGAAAUUAUAAUUCACUCCGAGUUUAGUGGGAAUCUGGAAGUCAAUACGGUAAAGGUGGUAGAGGGGAAAAAAGAGCCGUCAACAUAUUUAAGAAGUAUUCAUAUUCAGACUUGCAUUUGCAAAGCAUUCGAUGCUAUGUGUCAAGUGCUGAAAAAUCAGAUUAAAUAAUUAGGCGGUUGUCACAUACGAAAUGGCUGUUUGUGCUGCAGAUCUCCAUAACUGUCAAAUCUAUAAUGGCUAACUGGAAAGCUUCUGUGAGAAUUUUCAUUUUUGUGUCCAUUUUAUGAGGUGCUUUUAUCUUCUGAAGUGUGGAGGCAUCAUUGUAUGUUUGUGUUUUGUGGAAUCUAAGGUUUGGCCUUGUUUUACUUUGUAAUUUCUAUGCUCAUUUAAGUGGAUAUUUACUGAAGAAAAUCAUUCUGUGUGUCAAAGAUGAUCCAUUGUUUAAUGGUUAUAAAUUA
Long non-coding RNA from Stegostoma tigrinum, 1939 nucleotides. RefSeq lists it as uncharacterized. NCBI's taxonomy places the organism in Eukaryota, Metazoa, Chordata, Chondrichthyes, Orectolobiformes, Stegostomatidae. The record is from RefSeq and is a predicted model, not a curated record. The transcript is spliced from 3 exons.